AGGUUUUGUUAUUUUUUUUUACAGAUUCCCCUAGAAUCAUAAACCAUUAAGUUUUGAGUCGUACAACUGAUCUGUGUUUCUAAACAUCAGCGGAAUUUGUUUCAAAUAUCAAGAUGCCAGUGCCAGGAGCAGACCCCGCAAAGAAAAUCCUGAAAAAGAAAGUAGUGAAGAAAGUGGUUAAAAAACGCAAGGAAAGCGUGGCAGAAAAAGCACCCGCAAAGGACGUAGCCCCAAAAGCUGAAGAAAAACCUGUUCCAGCCCCAGAACCUGUAAAAGUUGAUAAACCAAAAGAAGCCCCAGUUGUCGUUGAAACUUCUGAAGUCAAAACUCCUGAAAAACCAACGGAGGAGACGCCAGUGACAAACGGGAUCGUCGAAGCUCCUGAAAAUGCAACUACAACUGAAGGCGUGGAGGUUACGGUCCGAGUAAAAGUGAUGCACAUUGACGUGCUGCAUGCUAUGAAAGUUAUUUGGAUCAAAGGGAAAUGGAAAGAGUUGACAAAGGGCGACAGAUAUGACAUGUGGUGCAACGAACGCACUGGGGAACAUUUUUUAAAGUUUCGUCAGCCCAAAGUUUCUGAUGGUGGCAGUUACAAAGUGAAAGCCGUGUCGCCUAUUGGGGAAAAUGAGGCGUCUUUUAACGUGGCCGUUGGACCUCCAGUGGUUGAAGAACACAAAAUUGAAAUCAAGAAAGGAUAUGUCCCUGAUGAAAAAGAUGUCUUAAAGGAUGUAGACUUCCGAAACCGACUCAAGAAAGUGCAAAAGAGCAUUGCUGCGGGUGGCUUAAGUGAGCGCUUACGUAAGGAAGAAAGUUCCGGCAAAUUCGACAUUUGGUCUUUGCUGAAGACUGCAUCUACUCGCGACUAUGAGUCGAUUGCGUUCAAGUUUGGAAUCCCAGACAUGCGUAUUAUGCUACGAAGACUUUCGCAAAUGAGUAAACUGGCCAACAAGAAGUGCCCGUCAUUUACCAAAAAGCUUCCCGAAAGUCAUUCUCUUAAUCUUGGUGAAAAGUUGGUACUUGAAGCAGAGGUGGCUAACGAGCAAAUGACAGUAAAGUGGCUCAAAAAUGGCAACGAAAUUACCCCAGGGAAGGGUUACCAGAUUGUAACUAAAGCGAACAAGAGAUACUUGAUGAUUGAUCAAACCUCCAAGGAUGACGAUGCCACUUAUACUUGUGUGGUUGGUAAAGAUGUAACUGCGUGUGAGGUGUUCGUUCAAGAACCACCAGUCACCAUUGUAAAGGGAUUGGAGGACGCUCAAAUCGCAUGUGGAGAAACUACCGAAUUUUGCUGCGAGAUCUCUAACGAGAACGGCAAAUUUCGCUUCCUCAAAGACGGUGUUGAUAUUCCGUCCAACGAUCGGUUCAAAGUAAAGAAAGAAGGCGUGAAAGUGACUUUAACUAUUACUGAGGCUGUGAUAGAAGACGAAGGAUUCUACCAGUUCAUGACUAACGGAAGCUCAAGUUGUUCCGAGUUGUUGGUGCAGGAACCAGCUGCUGUGUUCACUCGGGCUUUCUCUGACCUUAAAGUAAACUUCAAAGAAACUGCGGAGUUUUUCUGCGAAGUCUCAAAUGAAACCACGAAGGGAAAUUGGUUGAAGGACGGCAAGCCAAUGAAAGCUGAUGACCGAGUUAAGAUUACUGAGACCGGUAAAGCUCGUAAGCUUGUCAUAUCCGGCGUGAAAGAUUCCGACCAAGGUGAAUACACUUUUGCUGCAGAAGAUAACCCAACAUGCUCCAUUACUGCUGCGCUUGAAAUGACUGGUGGACAUAUCACCGUUGAACGAAAGAAGGCUCCUCCCAAAAUCUUCUUGGAUCACUCUUUAAAAGAUAGAUCCAUUCAAGUUAGAGCUGGUAACAAGAUCAAGUUAGACAUUCCCAUCUCUGGGGAACCCGCACCAGUACCCGAAUGGAAAAAAGGACCUAAGGACGGGAAGCAGAUUCAACUAGUUCAAACCGGAAAACGGGUUUGGACCAACACAAGCACUGAGCAUGGCAUCACUUCGCUUGUCAUCGUCGAUUCUCACCUCGAGGAUAGUGACGAAUAUUAUUGUGACUUGGUUUGGGACAAAGAAAAGCUUGAAGGCGGAGACUCUGAAUAUAUUAAACGACAAGAAAUUCAGUUUAAACUUCAAUUUGUUGACGUACCAAGUGCACCAACUGUCCCAAAGGUAUCAAACGUGACAGCAGAAACAUGUUAUGCUGUUUGGACUGGACCUUCAUGCAACGGCGGUUGUGAAAUUAAGGGUUACGUAAUGGAGAGAAAGAAGACGAAAUCCGAGAGAUGGAUUCGUCUUAACUUCGACCCUCUGCAAGGAGUAGAAUACGAAGCAAGAAGAAUGAUUGAAGGGACGGAAUACCAGUUGAGAGUACGAGCUGUGAAUGAGGUUGGGGUUGGAGAACCAAGUCCAGCUUCUAUACCGUUCACUCCUCUCGCACCUUGUAGCGAGCCCAGCGGUUUUAAAGUAUCUGCCGCCACUGACGACAGCUUGGAGCUAUCAUGGCUUCCACCAGCGGACAUAGGAGCGGCCGGUCUCGACGGAUAUCUGCUUGAACAACAACUUGUCGGCGAAGAAGACGAAAAAUGGACAACCGUCCAAUCAAACGGAGGUCUAUUACCCAACAACACCUCUAAAAUCCUCAUGGAUAAACUGGUCACUGGAAAGAAAUACCGUUUUCGGUUGGCAGCAAUCAACAAAGCUGGAUCCAGCGGUUUCACUGAGAUUGGUCCUGUUGUGUGCGCUGCAGUAGUCGAGGAGGCAAAGAUCGUUCUUCCUCGUCAUUUACUCAAGCCAGUAAAGGUCAAAGUUGGCGGAAAGCUUCACGUUAACGUGCCAUACCAGGGACGACCAAAGCCUCAACUCACAUGGUCUAAAGAAGGAAAGGCUCUCGAAGAUCACGUUGCUGUUCGAAACUCUCUCGAUUCCUCCGUCCUCUUCAUCAGAACAGCUGAGAGAUGGGAUUCUGGCAAAUAUGAUCUACAACUUAAAGUCGGAGAUGAUGUUGUUGGAGCCAAAGUGGAAGUGGCAGUGAUUGACAUUCCUUCCAAACCUCGCCAAGUUAAACUUGUCGAAGUUGUCGGGAAUUCUGCUUCUCUUAAGUGGGAAGAACCGAACGAUUCGGGCAACACUGAAAUACUUGGAUACAUUGUGGAGAAACGAGACGCACGAAGCGACGACUGGUACGUCGUGUAUGACAAACUCCGACAUAAGCAGUGCCAAGUAAGCGACCUUGUACUUGGGAACAACUAUUUCUUCCGGGUGAGAGCUUUUAAUGAAGUGGGAACCGGAGAGUCAAAUGGAACCAAAGACAGCGCUAACAUACCUAAAGAAAAAACCGUGUACAAGAAACCCGACUAUGCUCCCAUGGACUUCCGUAUGAAACCUGAAUUUACCCAACUUCUAAACGGUCGACGCAUCGUGGAAAACUACAACGGUACACUCAGCUGCGCCCUUAAAUGCAACCCCCGCCCUAAAAUCAAGUGGUUUAAGAACAAAAUUGAAAUCAUUGACAACCCGAAGUACAAGAUGACGCAAUCCAUGGGCAUUGUGCAACUGGAAAUUCGGCGGGCACGAGCAGGAGACGCUGGCAAUUACACGGUGACAGCAAUCAAUGAACUGGGCGAGGCCUCGUGUUCUGCUGAAGUCACCGUCAAGGAGCUGAAAUGACCAACGAAUACCACGCCCGCCUUACGAGUCAAAUCAGACGGCGCACAACAAGCGAAGGCGAGCUAAACCGGACAGGAUAACCGACUUACGAAAUUCGAGAGUGAUUUUCCGGUUUGGUAAAUCGUUUACAGCAGAAAAUUGCGACACUUUAUCCGCGAUUACGAACGUGACUUAGAAUUUAGUUACGACCGGGCAUGAGACGAAAGUCGGCGCCACUCGGGUCUUUACCAAGGUGAUAACGUGCAAGAAAUUCCGGACGGCAGUUUGGUUAGCUUUUCCAAAUAUUUGCAUGUCGGUUCCCCAGGCUAACGAGCGAAUAAAUUGAUUUUGAACAAGCAUUAAUUCACAGUGUAUUGUGUAAGUGAAUGACAGGUGUGUGAUAAGGAUUAUGUGUCAUACUAACCUCCUCAUUAGGAAUGCUGCAAAAGUGCGCGGAUAAUGUUUUCCUUAGUGUUGUUCAAAUUUUACUGGUGCUGUCCAAAAAGUACCAAAACCUAAUGCGACUUUACAAACAUAUUGCAAUGGUUACUGUGCGUGUUUGUUCUCAUAAAAGUACCGGUGGCCUAGCACUGCAAGAGUUACGUACAUCAAAUUCCGAACAUGAAAGCGAGUAAAACCGCCCGCUGUGGUUCUUAUUCUACUUUCUAAACCCUCGAGCGAAGCGUGGGCGUUCUGGACCGGCCAAUCCCUUUCUAUUGGCCACUCCAGCGGAAAAAGAAACUCACUCAUACUGUGAUUGGAAUGCGUUCAGUGAACGGACAUAAGGGUGCUUAUAAAACCCCUUCCAACCUGUCUAUAAUUUCCGGUAUAGUGUGUGAUGAAUCACAUAAGCCAGCUACGGGUUUAAAGCGUUGAUUCGUGUGUCGGUGUUUCCAUCGUAACGCUUCCGCAACUUCCCUUAUGUUAUCGCGCUAACGUUAACCCGUUGCUACGCUACAUAGACAUAAGUUAACGCAGCUUUCCAAAACGUUACCACAAUGACGUAAUCGAAAAACUCUGCCUUUGUGACGCUGUACAGUCCAAAACAUGAGGCUUGCCAAUCGCAACAUGGCUUACACAAUAAACAGUCGAUAAAGAGACGAUACGCGAGUAUUGGUUUUGUUUGUUGUGCGCUGGAAACGAUUUCUAUUUAUUUUCAGCCGUCGGACGUGGCGACAGUUGCUUUGAACGGCAGAGUACAGACAGAUCCCCGCGGGGUCUUGGGCCGUCGGUUUACAGUGACAACCGUUUCCCAUGUGCCACACAUAUCAAAUAAUCGCCUAAUUAGACAUGCCGAUAUAU
This is a non-coding RNA of Ciona intestinalis (vase tunicate), 4946 nucleotides long. Lineage: Eukaryota; Metazoa; Chordata; Ascidiacea; Phlebobranchia; Cionidae. The record is from RefSeq and is a predicted model, not a curated record.